This 369-nucleotide long non-coding RNA is filed under the name Mytilus galloprovincialis (Mediterranean mussel). The record is from RNAcentral. Lineage: Eukaryota; Metazoa; Mollusca; Bivalvia; Mytilida; Mytilidae.
UAAAGUCGUCAUCUCAGUUUCAGUCUAUUUUUGGCAUGUUUGAUGAAAUUAGGGAAUUCCAUUUUUGUUCUAAUUCAAGACAAACUAUUUUUGGAUAGAAUAAACUUGGAAGAAUGACGUCACGUUUCAAAAUGGCAUCGUACGGUACCAUCGCCCAAAACAUGCAAAAUUUCAGGAAUGCGUCGCCCAGCAUGCCAUCAAUGCCAUUUUCCUCAGGCCCGAAACAUCGUACAAUGAAGGCUACAUGAAGCUUAAGUAUAAUAAAGCAUUAAUAAGGAAUAAAAAUAGAUACUUACGGCUUCAAAAUCAACCGCUUCUGAACUUUGCCUCGUGUAGUAUUAAGCGAGAAUAUCGCGUGAUUUCCGGACG